RNAcentral lists this ribosomal RNA (468 nucleotides) under uncultured bacterium. Its description in RNAcentral is "partial 16S ribosomal RNA". It matches the Rfam family "Bacterial small subunit ribosomal RNA", at positions 28 to 507 of the family's 1533-position model. The record is from RNAcentral.
GACGAACGCUGGCGGCGUGCUUAACACAUGCAAGUCGAACGGAAAGGCCCUGCUUUUGUGGGGUGCUCGAGUGGCGAACGGGUGAGUAACACGUGAGUAACCUGCCCUUGACUUUGGGAUAACUUCAGGAAACUGGGGCUAAUACCGGAUAGGAGCUCCUGCUGCAUGGUGGGGGUUGGAAAGUUUCGGCGGUUGGGGAUGGACUCGCGGCUUAUCAGCUUGUUGGUGGGGUAGUGGCUUACCAAGGCUUUGACGGGUAGCCGGCCUGAGAGGGUGACCGGCCACAGUGGGAGUGGGAUACGGCACAGACUCCUACGGGAGGCAGCAGUGGGGAAUAUUGCACAAGGGGCGGAAGCCUGAUGCAGCAACGCCGCGUGGGGGAGGACGGCCUUCGGGUUGUAAACCGCUUUCGCCUGGGACGAAGCGUGAGUGACGGUAAUGGGUAAAGAAGCACCGGCUAACUACGUG